ACGCUGGCGGCGUGCCUAUACAUGCAAGUCGAGCGGAUCUUCAUUAGCUUGCUUUUGAAGAUCAGCGGCGGACGGGUGAGUAACACGUGGGCAACCUGCCUGUAAGACUGGGAUAACUUCGGGAAACCGGAGCUAAUACCGGAUAAUCCUUUCCCUCACAUGAGGGAAAGCUGAAAGACGGUUUCGGCUGUCACUUACAGAUGGGCCCGCGGCGCAUUAGCUAGUUGGUGAGGUAACGGCUCACCAAGGCAACGAUGCGUAGCCGACCUGAGAGGGUGAUCGGCCACACUGGGACUGAGACACGGCCCAGACUCCUACGGGAGGCAGCAGUAGGGAAUCUUCCGCAAUGGACGAAAGUCUGACGGAGCAACGCCGCGUGAACGAUGAAGGCUUUCGGGUCGUAAAGUUCUGUUGUCAGGGAAGAACAAGUACCGGAGUAACUGCCGGUACCUUGACGGUACCUGACCAGAAAGCCACGGCUAACUACGUGCCAGCAGCCGCGGUAAUACGUAGGUGGCAAGCGUUGUCCGGAAUUAUUGGGCGUAAAGCGCGCGCAGGCGGUUCCUUAAGUCUGAUGUGAAAGCCCCCGGCUCAACCGGGGAGGGUCAUUGGAAACUGGGGAACUUGAGUGCAGAAGAGGAGAGCGGAAUUCCACGUGUAGCGGUGAAAUGCGUAGAGAUGUGGAGGAACACCAGUGGCGAAGGCGGCUCUCUGGUCUGUAACUGACGCUGAGGCGCGAAAGCGUGGGGAGCGAACAGGAUUAGAUACCCUGGUAGUCCACGCCGUAAACGAUGAGUGCUAAGUGUUAGAGGGUUUCCGCCCUUUAGUGCUGCAGCAAACGCAUUAAGCACUCCGCCUGGGGAGUACGGCCGCAAGGCUGAAACUCAAAGGAAUUGACGGGGGCCCGCACAAGCGGUGGAGCAUGUGGUUUAAUUC
Molecule: ribosomal RNA, 936 nt
Filed under: Bacillus sp. K38T
Lineage: Bacteria; Bacillati; Bacillota; Bacilli; Caryophanales; Bacillaceae
Description: bacterial SSU rRNA
Rfam family: Bacterial small subunit ribosomal RNA
Source: RNAcentral